CUUCUGCAUCUUCUUCUUCUUCUAAGGAAGCAGCCAGUCACUCACUGAUCAGACACACAUCCACGAGCAGGAGCAGCAGCAGCAGCAGUGCUUGCGGGUAACAUCAGCAGCAAGAGGUAGAUGAUAAGCACGGAGACGGACACUCUUCUUCUCUAAGCGGACGCCUUGUCGAACUUGAGGGGCUUCACCACCUCCCAGGUGAAGUCGGUGUCGUCGCGCCCGAAGUGACCGUAGGCCGCGGUCUUGAUGAACCUGUUGCCGCCCUUCUUGAGGUCGAGGUUGAUGGUGAUCAUCCCGGGCCUGAAGUCGAAGUUCUCCUUCACGAUCUUGAGGAUCUCCUUGUCGGGGAUCUUGCCGGUGCCGUACGAGUCGACGAACACCGACAGGGGCUCGGGAACGCCGAUGGCGUAGGACACCUGCACGAGGCAGCGGCGGGCGAGGCCGCUGGCCACGAUGCUCUUGGCCGCCUGCCUGGCGAUGUAGGCGCCGCUGCGGUCAACCUUGGUGGGGUCCUUUCCGGAGAAGGCACCACCGCCGUGGGCUCCCCAGCCGCCGUAGGUGUCGAUGAUGAUCUUGCGGCCGGUGAGGCCGGCGUCGCCGUGCGGCCCGCCGAUGACGAAGCGGCCCGAAGGGUUGAGGUGGAAGAUGGUCUUCUCGUCGAGGUACUUCUCCGGGAUGAUGGGCUUGAUGACGUGCUCCUUGAGGUCGGCGGCGAUCUCGUCGUUGGUGACGGUCUCGUCGUGCUGGGUGGAGAUGAGGACGGUGUGGACGCGGAC
RNAcentral lists this long non-coding RNA (776 nucleotides) under Setaria viridis. RNAcentral's name for it is "long non-coding RNA (SVIR_LNC005346)". The record is from RNAcentral. Lineage: Eukaryota; Viridiplantae; Streptophyta; Magnoliopsida; Poales; Poaceae.